AGGGGACCGCCGUUGAAACUGGUGGGCUUGAGUACGUCUGGGGCAGGCGGAAUGCGUGGUGUAGCGGUGAAAUGCAUAGAUAUCACGCAGAACCCCGAUCGCGAAGGCAGCCUGCCAAGCCGUGACUGACACUGAUGCACGAAAGCGUGGGUAUCGAACAGGAUUAGAUACCCUGGUAGUCCACGCAGUAAACGAUGAUCACUAGCCCUCUGCGAUAGACUGUAGGGGGCCGAGCGAAAGCGUUAAGUGAUCCACCUGGGGAGUACGCCGGCAACGGUGAAACUCAAAGGAAUUGACGGGGGCCCGCACAAGCGGAGGAACAUGUGGUUUAAUUCGAUGAUACGCGAGGAACCUUACCCGGGUUUGAACGGCGGCGGACAGGGACGGAAACGCCCCCUCCCCUCGGGGCCGCCACCGAGGUGCUGCAUGGUUGUCGUCAGCUCGUGCCGUGAGGUGUCGGCUUAAGUGCCAUAACGAGCGCAACCCCCACCGAUAGUUGCCAUCAAGCGAAGUUGGGGACUCUAUCGGGACUGCCGGCGUAAGCCGCGAGGAGGGCGGGGAUGACGUCAAAUCAGCACGGCCCUUACAUCCGGGGCGACACACGUGUUACAAUGGCGCGGACAAAGGGUCGCGGCCUGGCGACAGGUAGCCAAUCCCGAAACCGCGUCUCAGUUCGGAUCGGAGUCUGCAACCCGACUCCGUGAAGCUGGAUUCGCUAGUAAUCGCGCAUCAGCCAUGGCGCGGUGAAUACGUUCCCGGGCCUUGUACACACCGCCCGUCAAGCCAUGGGNNNNGGNNNNNCCUGAAGUCCGUGACCGGAAGGAUCGGCCUAGGGUAAGACCGGUGACUGGGGAUGAGUCGUAACAAGGUAACCA
Molecule: ribosomal RNA, 875 nt
Filed under: uncultured bacterium
Lineage: Bacteria
Description: bacterial SSU rRNA
Rfam family: Bacterial small subunit ribosomal RNA
Source: RNAcentral